RNAcentral lists this small nuclear RNA (18 nucleotides) under Arabidopsis thaliana (thale cress). RNAcentral's name for it is "snRNA_06043". Lineage: Eukaryota; Viridiplantae; Streptophyta; Magnoliopsida; Brassicales; Brassicaceae. The record is from RNAcentral.
UGCCUCAGAUUUGUUUUG